AUGGUGGUCGAUGCCCUUGCGGUCAUCCUGGAUAAGGCCAAAUCUGUUGGCCAUAUCCACGGCAUAGUCCCUCACCUGGUAGGAGGGGGAGGGGUCUCCCUCCUACAAUAUGCAGACGACACCAUUAUAAUGGUGGAGGGCUUCGUGACCGACAUGGCAAACCUGAAGUUUCUCCUCCUAUGCUUCCAACAGAUGUCAGGGCUCACUAUCAACUUCGAUAAGAGCGAAAUGAUGAUCCUUGGCUAUCCUCUGGAGGAGGCCCAAGCCAUAGCUGGUCGACUGAACUGUCGCUUGGGGUCUUUUCUCACUACUUAUUUGGGGAUACCCAUUAGUGACUCGUGACUCACCGUGGCUGACCUUCGCCCGACAGUGACCCGGAUGCAGCACCGGGUCGAGCCCUAGAAGGGGAGGUGGCUCUCGAAGGCGGCCCGGGUAAUCCUCAUCAACUCCUCGCUUGCCAGCUUCCUAUGGUUCCUCAUGAGCUUCUACAGCCUUCAUGAGACGCUCCAUCAGGAGAUCGCCAAAUACCAAUCCAGGUUUUUCUGGGCAGGCGAGGGUGACAAGCAGAAGUACCAUAUGGUGAGUUGGCCUGACAUUUGCAAACCCAAGGACCAGGGUGGUCUGGGAUCUUGUCUUCUUGGCGCAUGA
Molecule: ribosomal RNA, 648 nt
Filed under: Triticum aestivum (bread wheat)
Lineage: Eukaryota; Viridiplantae; Streptophyta; Magnoliopsida; Poales; Poaceae
Description: partial small subunit ribosomal RNA
Source: RNAcentral